CCGCUGAAUUUAAGCAUAUAACUAAGCGGAGGAAAAGAAACUAACAAGGAUUCCCCUAGUAAGGGCGACUGAAGAGGGAAAAGCUCAUACUGAAAAUCGCUUCGGCGAAUUGUAGUCUGAAGAUGCCUGACCAGUGAUGCAUUCGGGUUAAGUCCUUUGGAACUGGGCAUCAUGGAGGGUGAUAAUCCCGUUCAUACCUGUUUGUAUUCACAUACGGUCGGUAUUCUACGAGUCGAGUUGCUUGGGACUGCAGCUCUAAGUGGGUGGUAAAUUCCAUCUAAAGCUAAAUAUUGGUAGGAGACCGAUAGCGAACAAGUACCGUGAGGGAAAGAUGCAAAGAACUUUGAAAAGAGAGUUAAAAAGUACCUGAAAUUGCUGAAAGGGAAUCGAAGGAAAUCAGUGUGUAAGUUUCGACAUUUUCAUUCUUUCUGUGUUAGCGGAGGAGUGUUGUGUCGUGAUUACUGUCAGGAUGGGUUGUAUCUGCAGGAUACGGCAUGCUAGAAGGUAGUCUACCUCGGUAGAUGUUAUAGCUGACAUGCUUUGCUGUGGGUUAGAUCGAGGGCGCGCGCAAGCGACGAUCCUGACAAAAUGAUUUUCUUCACCCCGUCUUGAAACACGGACCAAG
This 625-nucleotide ribosomal RNA is filed under the name Olisthodiscus luteus. RNAcentral describes it as "LSU rRNA". It matches the Rfam family "Eukaryotic large subunit ribosomal RNA", at positions 25 to 670 of the family's 3401-position model. The record is from RNAcentral. Lineage: Eukaryota; Olisthodiscophyceae; Olisthodiscaceae.